GAUGAACUGAAAAUUACUUCCUUGAUUUGCGCAACAAGGAAGUUUGGAAAGUUUGAUAAAAGUUUUCAUGAUAUUUAAGUGAGGAACAAGUAGAUUUUAUUGGCUUUAUUCAAGAGCUAACAAGUGACAGCUAUUGAUGCUUGACUUGCUGAUUUAUGAUGGACAGUUAAUGGUCAGACUAUUUAAGGAUUAUUAGCAUAAACAUGUAUGAAGACGACGAGGAAAUAUAUGAUGAUGCAGGGGAUACGGGAGAAGAUAUGAGUGAACCGAGCGGGCUCAGUGCCAUUAAGGCCCGGUUUGAGGGCGCUCAGAACAAAUUUGAAAGUAAUCCUGCCCCGGGGCUAAAACCGGGCAUCACCCCAAAACCCAAAGUCCUCCCAAAAUAUGGAGGUGGGGGUGGUCUCAACAUUUGCGGAGCUGUCGAUAAAAAGGAAGGAAGUAUACCAAAUGCAUUAAGACCUAAAAAUGCAGAAACAGAUAAACCUCAGGAUAAACCUUCUGAAACAAGUUCCAAUGGACCACUUAAGAAGAGGGAUAGUAAGGUAAACAUUCCAGAGGCCUUUCGGCAAAAAACAGAUGCCCCACCUGUUGAAACUAAACCUAAACCUGGUGUAAAGCCUUCCAAAUGGGGAAGUGAUUCUAACAAUAAUGCAAAAGUAAAUGGCAUUCCACCUGCAAAAAACAAAGACAUUAUAGAAAAUGCAAUAUCUCAGAGGAAGUUUGGUGUGGGAGGCGCAGUGAAGACUUCUAACUGGUCACAGUCCCCAUCAGGAAAUGUUUCCCCAAGGGAGAAAACUGCCGAUACAAACAUUCCAAAGACUGAGUCUGAUUCUCCAAAACAAAAGUCACCUAGGGGUGUUGGAACAGCAAAUGAUGUUUUAGCUAAAGUCGUUGCAAUGUCUGGGAGUCCAGCUGCUGAUUUUAAGGCAAAACUCAGACAUGUAGAACCAACUAAGAACAGUCCAAGUGCUGUGUCAGUGUCCCCAAUAAAACCAGUUCUUCGUAAGAAUUCCAGUGAUUCUAAUGAUGUCCCUUGGAGGAGAAAUUUGAAAAGUGCAAAACUUCGAGAAAGGACGAAAUCAGUCCGAACUGUGAUACGAGUUAUAGACGGGAAAAAAUUCCUCAAAAAUGAUGAUAGCUGUUUACAAGAUGACAGUCCACCUGACAAGCCAGAUAAAUUGGAUUGUGAUAUAGACAUUGAUGCUUUGGGAGUGGAGUACAAAGAAGCUAUGGAAAGUCUAGAUACAACAGAGAAGGUGCAGCAUGGCUGGACGGAGAUGGAAGAAACCUACGAUGACUGCGGAAAUCUACAGUCUACAAGAGCAGUGUCUCUAAUGGGCAAGCGCCCCAAACCUAAGCCACGAAAAAGUAAAAAAGUGCCACUUAUCGAACCAAUGACGGAGGAUGAAGAGCUCAGUGCAAGGAGUUGGGAGGAAGCUGGCUUUAAUGGGCUACCAGGCUCAGUGGACGAGCUGCCUGCUCCACCUCCAGAAUUGUUAGAUGAACAAGAAACCUAUGAUGAUGUUGGUGUAGCUGAGGUACCACCAGAGGAAGAAGAAUUACAAGAAGAUGAGAUGUACGAGGAACUGCCAGAGGAGCCAAUACCAGAGUCAUCUGAACCACCACCACCACCAGUAGGUCCUAAACCACCUGAGCUGCCAUCAACACCUUUACCAAAAACUCCAAACAUAGAAAGAUCUGAAAGUGAAAGUGACAAUAAACAAACUGCUCAACAAAUUGUAGACGCCAAGGAACAAAAAAGAAUAGAAAAGGAACGUAAAAAGAAAGAAAAGGAAGAAAAAAAAAUGUUAGAAAACAAAGAAAAGGAACUGAAGAAAUUACUGAAAGUGCUAGGUCAUAAGGUAACAGCAGAAAUACUGACUACCUCAGUGGGAAAAGGGAAAGUAAAAAGUAAUGCAAAGGGCAAGGAAAAGACAGGGGAGUUAACUGUUACCGAGGGAGAGGAAGUGGAUAUUAUACGUAUGAUAGACAAUCCACAAGGGAAAUGGCUUGUAAGGAUUCUCAGCUCACAAAAAGACAAGGAGCGUGGACCUUACAAUCCUUUGGAACUGAUUGGUUAUUGUGAUGAGAAGAACAUCGAGGUAGACACCAGUAGUAUACUGAACGAAUUGUAAAAGGGAAGCAGUAAUACUUGCAAUGCAUUGUAUAUGAAAGGACAGAAGUCUAGCACGUCUGUAGCACCAGCGGAAGAGGAACAAGAAACUUACGAAGAUGUCGAUGGAGCCGAGGAUCUGGAACAAGAUGAAAUCUAUGAAGAAUGUAACUGACAUAUUCCAGUACAAAUGUCUGUACCAGUGUGUGUUCAUAUAGCUAUAUCAGUCAGCUCUAUAUGUAUCCGAGGAGUCAAAGACUUUUUGAAACAGUGCUUCCUUUUGUCAUACUUGUUCUAGAUCCAUGCAAGGGGUGUUUGAAAAAAAUUGUGGCAUUUUAACGGUCGAAUAUUGAUUUAUUGCAUUCUUAACAAAUUAAGCAAUAUUGUCAAUAGAUACAUUGUAGCAUCUGUGUGGAAAAUAUAUUGUUUGAAUAC
RNA transcript from Mercenaria mercenaria, 2548 nucleotides. It is a transcript of the gene named FYN-binding protein 1-like, with no coding region annotated. The transcript is spliced from 17 exons. The record is from RefSeq and is a predicted model, not a curated record. Lineage: Eukaryota; Metazoa; Mollusca; Bivalvia; Venerida; Veneridae.